RNAcentral lists this ribosomal RNA (486 nucleotides) under uncultured bacterium. RNAcentral describes it as "partial 16S ribosomal RNA". It matches the Rfam family "Bacterial small subunit ribosomal RNA", at positions 30 to 507 of the family's 1533-position model. The record is from RNAcentral.
AUUGAACGCUGGCGGCAUGCCUUACACAUGCAAGUCGAACGGCAGCACGGGUGCUUGCCCCUGGUGGCGAGUGGCGAACGGGUGAGUAAUACAUCGGAACAUGUCCUGUAGUGGGGGAUAGCCCGGCGAAAGCCGGAUUAAUACCGCAUACGAUCUACGGAUGAAAGCGGGGGACCUUCGGGCCUCGCGCUAUAGGGUUGGCCGAUGGCUGAUUAGCUAGUUGGUGGGGUAAAGGCCUACCAAGGCGACGAUCAGUAGCUGGUCUGAGAGGACGACCAGCCACACUGGGACUGAGACACGGCCCAGACUCCUACGGGAGGCAGCAGUGGGGAAUUUUGGACAAUGCGCGAAAGCCUGAUCCAGCAAUGCCGCGUGUGUGAAGAAGGCCUUCGGGUUGUAAAGCACUUUUGUCCGGAAAGAAAUCCUUGGCCCUAAUACGGUCGGGGGAUGACGGUACCGGAAGAAUAAGCACCGGCUAACUACGUG